This 936-nucleotide long non-coding RNA is filed under the name Citrus x clementina. RNAcentral describes it as "Citrus clementina (C. clementina) long non-coding RNA (CCLE_LNC004661)". Lineage: Eukaryota; Viridiplantae; Streptophyta; Magnoliopsida; Sapindales; Rutaceae. The record is from RNAcentral.
AAUAUAAUUUAAAUAUAAAGGAUAAAUUUAUAAAUAAAGAACAACAAAGAUUUCAUAAGAAAUAUAAAGGGGGUGCCAAUCGCGUCACUCAUGCAAAUUAGUAACAGGCGAGGACACGUACAUGGUAAACUGACACGUCGGAUCAAUCAAAGGUACGAAUACAAAUUAUAAUUGCUUGCACAUGUGACAUAUGCACGUACAUAAGUUGGUUUACAAAACAAAGUCAUUUUCGAAUUAUUUCUUGCACUACAAUUAAAACCCAAAAAAAAAAAAUCUUAUCGCACCAAAUCUAAAUAGCAUGAUAGCUCAGUUUGUGAUUCCAAAUGAGCCACGCGAAGCUCUUGGGAGUUGGGACAUGCCACUGAUAAUUCUUCUGGGGGCUGUUUAUUGUUCGUUUCUGGAUACAGUAUAAAUCACAACAACUUUGGAAGCCUGACAUCAGCCUGGCUACUGGGAACAGCAUCGAGUGUUUGUAGUAAAAACCGAUAAGGAAGAAAAGUUGCAAAACAUCAAUCAAUAAUACUUUUUUUUUAAUUGCCUUUUAAUCUUUUUAAGGGGGCCGGAAAAUUGCGGAUGAUCAAAUAAUUGUGGGGUUUUUUGGCAACUACCUGCGUAGAUUACAAUCGUUCUGAUGUCAUGUGUGACGAUUCUUUUUCCUUUUUCUUUUAUUUGUUUAUUUUUUUAAUGUUGUUUGCAUUUACUUUCUUAAAGGACAACGAGACUGUGGGUGCAUGACAGUCGUCCAGUUUUGUUUGAAAGGCGGAGGAAAUGAACAGACUCUGACAACCGGUUGUUGCCAAAUAUUAUGAGCGGUCCUACGUGUGGGUGAACACCGAACAAGACUAAAAUGAAAUGGCCUUCUUGAUAACUAUGCAGCAGGUAGUGACGAUAACGAGCUCGUUUUGAUCAUAAUACUCUUUAAUAUUAUAAAUUAAA